Molecule: ribosomal RNA, 253 nt
Filed under: uncultured bacterium
Lineage: Bacteria
Description: partial 16S ribosomal RNA
Rfam family: Bacterial small subunit ribosomal RNA
Source: RNAcentral
UACGGAAGGGGCGAGCGUUGUUCGGAAUCAUUGGGCGUAAAGGGCGCGUAGGUGGUUCUGUAUGUCUACCGUGAAAGCGUACGGCUCAACUGUAUUUUGUCGGUAGAAACUGCAGGACUUGAGGCUGGGAGGGGCUGGUGGAAUUCCCUGUGUAGCGGUGAAAUACGUAGAGAUGGGGGAGAACACUCGUGGCGAAGGCGGCCAGCUAGACCAGUUCUGACACUGAGGCGCGACAGCGUGGGGAGCAAACAGG